UUAUUGACAAUUACGUUAGACUGAAAGCAGAAUAUAAGAAUUUAGCCUCAGUACAACCAGAAAAAUAUGUGAAAGAAAAAGGGAAGCAAUAUAAUGCUCUAACCUUUUUUUUUCUGAUUAAUGUUUGCCACUUUUUAUAAGUCUAACUGUUGAAGUUAGCAACUUUCGAUGUUGAAAGAAUUAAAGUUGCAUUAUGUGCAUAUUUUACAGACUUUUAACUAAAAUAGAAAAAAUAUAUUACACAUGAAACCAUAAUUAUUAUAAUCAGAGUUCAGAUAUAUGUAAUGCCACAUUUACACAAAUUUCAUGAAGCCAAACUGAAGUUACUGCAUUGGAAUGGAAGAGAUUUUAGUGGACAUUUAGUGAAGUCAAUAUCAAACCAGAAGGUCAGCAAUGAGAUAGAUGGAGGUACAAAUAUGCCAUGAUGAUCCUAAAGCAUUUCAAUCAUUAAGAGAUGAGUAGAUAAAAGAGCAGGAUAAUAGCUUAUAUAAGUGCCAUGAAUUGAACACCUAAAUUCUCAUGCUCUUUCCCAAAAGAACAUCAGCCAACCUUAUUUAGAGCAUGCCAAAUGGCAAUUUUAGGACUUGGAAGUAUUACUCAAAGGUCAGCGGUAUAAUAAUAAUCACAACGCAGGUGGAAGAUGCUACGCGCGCGGGGUGGCUGUGUCGAUCAGGGGCCUCUGUGAGGCGCACUACACAGGUUAAGUAGCACGCUAUCCUAACUCUCAUCACAAUAAUUCAUUUCAUAACAAAAAAAAAAACAAUCCUUUUUAAGACCUGGAAAUCCCAUAUGAUCUAAGAUCCUCUAUAAAAUGUCUAAAUAAAAACCAAAAUGAUAGAUUAUGCACUGCAGUAUCUGAGAAUGGGUCAAUCCAAGCAAACAGAACAGUCCCAUGCAAACACGCAUCAGUGUACAUCAGCUAAUGAGCUAACUAUCUAAGUGGAAAACAAAACAAACAUCUAGCUAUCAAACUAGCAGUGAAAAAAAAAAAGAAGAGGAAAUAAGAAAUAGUAGCAACUACAUGCAUCUGCCUUGUGAUCCAACAAAAUCUUCAGUGUCUUAUCCUUGCCAUUGUUAGCAGCAUGAAAGAGUGGUGUUCCAAGGCCACAGUCUAUGUCAACAGGUAUUCCUUUUGAAAGCAAGAACUCUGUUACCUUACAGCAUCCUGCAAUGAAUGAGAUGGGCCAUAAAUCUUGGGGGAAACAAAUACUAUAUAAAUUGAGUUAUUUGAAUAAACAUUUACCAAUACAAUGGACAAAUCACAAUAGAUUGCAUGUGAGAUGUGAGCGAGUAUAAACAGAGCAAACCAAUACAACUUUGAGUGGUGAUAUAUAAACUAAAAGUAUCUAGAUUAGCAACACAAUAAAAGAUAACUGUGACGACAUGGUUGGAUUAAAUGUAAUCUAUUAAUAGUAAUGCAGUAUCGUAGAAUCUUGUACAACAAUAUAAUUGGUAAUAUAACAAGGAAAUGGAUAGUGUUCAUAUCAAGGGAGACCUGUGCCAGCAGCAUGGUGGAGAACUGUGCAUCCUCUAACAUCUGCUUUUGUUACAUCACCACUAUGAUCAAGAAAAUACUCCACCGUAGGAACAUCACCAGACUCAGCAGCGGCCAUAAACGGUGUUAUAUCUGUAAUAAACAGCACAUCAGUACACUUGGCACAUUAUACUGCCAAAGCAUAGACAUGGCAACCGUCAAUUUCACGAAAGGAUGGUACAGUUAGAUAAUGACCUUCUUUUCCAGCAAUAUUCACGUCACCCCCCAAUUCCUCCACCAAGAACUUGCAAACAUUCAGAUGGCCCUGGCAUGCCGCGGCGUGCAGCACCCCAAUCCCAUGCUUGUUAAGAGCUAAGACGGCAUCUAGGGAUGCAAGCGGGCCAACUCGCAAACCUACUUAUAUGUAAAAUAAGUGAUAACCCGUGUGUUUUCACGUCGUGGUCCGAUUUGCCGCACUUAGAGAUGCAAGUGGGUCGAUCCAUAAACUCAUUUAUACGGGUUACCUACUAAUUUUGCCUAUAAGCGGGUUCACGGGUUGACCCGCUUGCAACCCUAAGUCUUUCCUUUCUGAAUCCCAAGGCUCUUUAUAAAACCUUCUCCCAAAUAAGAACAAAAAGAAAAGUCAUCACAGUGAGGAAGAUAAUCUGAAAAUGAACAGAUUAACUAGGUAGAACGUGAAAAGAAAAGCGACGAAAACGUGCAACGUGCAAGAACCUCACUGAGUCAUGUGAACCUAUACCUUGUGACUUGAAAACAUUUGUGUAGAGUACUGUCUGCUACACAUCACACAUUAGCACUUGGGAGAGGUAAUUGUAAUAGAAAGAUGAUCACAACAUUGUCGCAUUUAUCCAAUGCAAGGACUUGCUACAAUAAAAGCCUCAGUCAGGUCUUGCAAUUUCUAGAUAAGAUGGCAUGCAUCUCCAGUAAUCCAUAGACCUGGCUGUUAAUUCCUUCACGCAGGGUGAAAAAUCCACGCAGCCAUAACAUCACCGAAAAUAAAAUAAAAUGUGGGAAAUUCCCAAAGGCAACAGCAACGCAGCAAGCGCCCUUCCUUCAAAAAUUCCAUGGCCAAAUUAAUUAGCAGUACUACAGCCAUCGCCAAGCGUUCCACACAGGAGGAAUCACCCAAACCUAAGGGAGGAAAAUCACGCAACAGGCGCAUGCAAAAGGGGGCCAAUGCGUAGACGCAUCGAUCGGGGAAGGGGAUCGACGCGGCGGAGAAGAAGAAGGGGAGGAGGAGGAGGAGAGGUAGUAGCAACCUUUGAGGCGUCCGAGGUUCCCGUCGAAGGCCGCCCUCAGGCCUCAGGAGAGCGCUCUCACCUGCGAACAAACCGAGAAAUCGCCAUUAGAGCACAUGGCCGAGGAGCUAGCAAGCCGAUCGAGCUAAGAGGAGAUGCGGGGAGAGGGCGUCGGUGGGGCGGCAGUAGACGAACGGAACGGCGCCGCCAUGGCUCGCCUCGCCGCGAGGAGGGAGGAAGCUUGCAGGAGGAGGAGCGGAGUGGGUGGUGGGUUUUGCUCGUCCACCACGACGAGGGCGAGGGUUUGGCGGUGCACCCGUGCCCCGUGGACUGUAGGCCUGUAGCUCUCACGGGUGUACCAAGACCAGGUUCACGGAGCCGUUUGCUCGGUACGGAGAAAGCGGAUAGAUAGGUAGUCUAUGACAUGGGUGGCCCGCUUACAGGCCAGUACUACCGGAAAAAGGAAAUUAGUGGAGACCGGAUGCAAACAGGCUCCCGUACAGCCUCGCCAUAGAUAAUUGCCACGUAGACAACCGAACGAUCGAACGUCUCGCUGGGCAUUACUUUUUGUCCUAAAAAAAUUCAUGGGAUAUGACUCCUCCUAAUCACAUCCUUCAUUUCACAUUGGUUACAGUCUCAGCUUAUUCCAGCUACCUCGUCCUAAUUUACAGAGUCUCCUCGAAUGCCCUAGUUAAUUUGAAGCCAAGGUUAUUUUUUGAAUUUUUUAAACUUAAAUUUAAAGUUGAUCUUACGAUGUUUUCAACGUAGUUUUUUUUAUUUGCUCUUAAAUCGUUAGGACAUAUAUCUACCUAUAAAAUAUUUUUUCCUAAUAAGCUAAAAUAAUUUUCAUUAGAGAAUAUGGACAAUCGAUGACUUCCCGUGUAACACCAAGAGGCCUUAUGACACCGGUCAAUAUAUUGUUUUUUGAGCUUUGGCUAAAUAAGUAAAAUAGAUAGAUGCAGCCUACACGUCUUCCUAACUCUUUGCCUUCUUCAAGACAACGCCAAUGCAACGUCUGCUUCUGAAACUAGCGUUAGUGAGUUUUUUUUUCUUGCCCUUACCAGCCAAAAAAAUAGCCAACUUCCGAUUUGAUUUUCAUCUUAAUUUUGUUCUAACUCACUCACCAAGCUAUCCACCUGAUUAAUUUCUUUAAAUAGUAACAAUUAAUUAAGGAUUUUUUAUUUGAGAACAACGAUUACUUAGAUAACAAUUCAAUUUCAUCUAGUUACAUAGCAUUCUUCUAUUACUUUUCAUACUCGUUAUAAGUUUACUACAGGAUGUAAUUAAUUGUUGCUAUGAGUGUUGAGUUGACACUGAUACCCUCAACCUAAAAUCCUGGUUGAGGAGCAUGAGGAUGAUGACGCCCAGGCUUUAGGCGUCGGUCUUGGCACCCGCCUUAGCUUCUUAGCUGCACAUUAUACCAUCAGAAAUAGUUAGCGUAAUUAUCAAGUAUGCAGAUUUUCAGCUCAUAAGGAUAAACCCAAGAAAUGCAGCGUGAGUGUGGAGCAAAUUUGUUCAGAGACAGAAAGCUGAAUAAUACGUUAAUACUUUGGUUCAUGAAGAAGUCGAAAUGUGUCUUCUUCAAAUUCAGAGACAGACAGUUGUUAAACUAAAGUCUGAAAUGCGUGCACUGAAAAAUGACAAGGGCUCAUGGAGAGAAAUAUCUUCUAUAAGUCCUAAAAGAUUCUACAACUAUCCUUUCCAGAAUGCACCCAUCCCAUCAAAUGGACUUGACAGCUUGUCAUGGCUGUUACAUUCAGAUCCUUCAUGGAAGUUGUGUCGUAGCAGUGUUGGAAUACCUGAAAGCAGAGAAACAACACAAUCUUUUAAUAUACCUGAAUUGCAUUUGGUUAUAUUUGGUUUCCUACCAACAUGGAGACAAAAUGUGAAAUUAUAGCGAAGAAGUGUCUGUUUGGAUUGAUGCCCUAUCAAAAUUUUGGUAGUGCCAAAUCUUGAGCAACUUUGGUAGGGUGAAGUUAAAAAUAUUUAUUUGGAUUGAAGCCAAAAUAUGACUAUAAGAGACAAGUUUAUGGUCAAAGCCAAUUUUUUGGCAAAGGUAGUGAUUUAAUAGAGAUGUUUGGUUUGCUACCCUACCAUAAUUUUGGCAAGGUAACAAUCCAAACUAGCCCUUAGUAGCAAUCCAAAAAGGCCCGGACACUAAUUUUGAUUUGGCUAAAGAAAGAGCCAGAAAAGCAAAAGCUACAUCAGACAUUAAAGCACAAGAGAGCAGCGGACAAUUCAGAAAAAUGUGUUCUUACCUUAGUGCUCAAUUUUACAUUUUUUGGAGCUUUCCUUUUUGGUAGAAUGGCUUUUCUUUCUUUUCCUGGGUGGAUAAUCAGACAUGCUGCUGCUGGAAGAACUUGAACACCUCCGAGAUUUUCUCUUUCUGUGACUAACUGAAUUCCUUCUCUUUCUUUUCCUGGGAGAGGGACUAUACGAGCUGCUCUCUGACGACGAUUCAUCGGAGCUACUGUCUGACAAUGAGUCAGUAACAUAGGACCCCAAAGCAAAACAAGUCCUUAACCUACAGAAGAAAUUUUUAUAUUAAAUUAGUUCAAACUAACCUACACAAAAAAAAGUUAAACUAAUUGAACUGAAAUGAAAUAUACGUACACAUGAGUUAAAUCAAACUCAUCUUCAAUAAACUUAAAUACAGCUUCUGCAAGAAAGUCUCCUAGAUAUUUUGGGACCAUUAGCUCAAUACCACUAUCACAUUGAAACCAUUGGUAAUGUUCUAUUUUGGAAUCCACGAACACAUGAAUCUGCAAAAGAAAGCUUCAUGUCAUUAUUUCCUUUCCUCUUUCUUUUUUGAAUCAGAAUCGCAAAUAGGAAAUCUAGGAACGUUCUGGAAUCACAAUCAGAAACAAGAGAAGGGCGAGCUUACCCAGGAAUGUUCUGGUGCAUGAGUAUUGUAAUUUCUCACCAAAUGAAAUGCACUCAUGCCAUUGGAGCCGUAUAUGAUGUUCCUCUUCUGUCCUUCCAAAAUCACUAGGCGAAACAAAUGCUUAGACAUCAAAGUAUUGCACCAAUCUUCUGGGACUGUGCAAUUGUCUGCAACAAAUCUGAAGUACAUUUUCUCUCUGUCAUCCCAGCCAUCAUAGCAUCUCUUAAUUUGAUACACCAAAUUUACUCGGUUCAGAGAAGGUAUCAAAGAGAUAUGAUAGUCAAAAGCAAGCUGCUGACGCACUGUGAAAACAUCGACAGCUAAAGCUUCUAACUUUCCAAGAAGGUGCUUCAAGUACGGAGGAUGAACAUUUUUUUUGACAAACAUUUCUCUUAUCAUCGAAGUCAACUUGGUGCAGUCACUGUUCAUCUUGCUUGAGUUGAGGCCUUUCCAUGGCUUUUUCUUGAUUCUGACUCUCCCAUGAACAACAAUCAAACCAUCCAUGUCAAUGUUCCCAUUCCAUGUCUUUCCAGCUACAAACACCGAUGUAAAUAAGUGUAUCAAACUGGAGAGAACCAAACAGCCCAACUCAGUGAGUUCCUUAGUUCUUGAGUUGUCCGGAAGUUGAACUUCCCUUAGGAACUCAUGCCCAUGCUUUUAGAAAAAUUGUGAUAGUGUUUUAAAUUUUCUUCGACCGUGGAACUUUCUUCUACCAUGAACUCUUCUGCUUCCAUGAAACCUCUGUCCACCGAGAAGCCUACCACACAUAUAUAUAUUUGAAUCCUUUUCUAUACCAUACGAUGAUAAUGGUAUUCCUGCUUCUAACGUGCUCAUCUGGUACACGAAGAAGGAUCCAGAAACAUCCAGCCUCAUCCUUUUCUCUACCUCUUCUUUUAAGAAGACCACAUCUUUGCAUGUAUCAAUCUGCAGGGAUAACGUUCCAUGGGGAUGUUUGACAAAAACCUGGAUAAAUAUUAUAAAUAUCUUGAAGUUAAAAACAUAUGAUGAUAUCUUAAAUACAUUGCGCAUUUAAGUAAUUAAAAGGAGGUAUCAGGAAUCAACAUUCAUAUUGCAUUUCUAAUAAUAAGGAUACAAUACAACAGCAUUUAUUCAUACAGAGCAAAGUAGGGGGAUUUUGGCAACACUUACUUGUGUUUUUCCCAUAACAGAUGAAACAUUUGGAGGUUUGACCCCAUAAGAUGCAGUGGGUUUAUCAUAAAGGCCAACCUUCGACUCCACAACCUACAGAUGGGAGGUGAAAAAAAAUGUUAAAAUAAGAAUUAAUUGAUAGUACAAGGAAAUAUAGUUAAAUAGAUUAAUUUAUGGCCAAUUUUGUAAAUUUGAUGCUUCAAAACCAUAAAGCCAACACCAUUUGUAAUAAAAGGAAUUCGAACUCAAUAAAAAUGAACUAAACUACUACAUAAAAAAGAUCAAUCAAAUUCAAAAUGAGUUCCAGUGAAAAGCUUAUAAGUAAAUUGGACAACAGCUAUUAAAGGUAAUUGAAAUGUUUGAAGUAGCUGUGCAGGUAAACUUACAUCUUUACUUUCUUGGAUAUCAUAUUCCCUGUACAAGUACAACAGCUGCAUCAUCAACCUUGAUAUAUACAUUAAAAUGAACACUAGCAAUUCUGUCAUUUUUUUUUUAUUUUCAAUGUUUUACGUAGCAACAUUCAUUACAAUCGUUCAAGUCAUGGAAACUUAAUGAUUAAAGCAAAGUGAAAAAUGGUAACAGACAAUGAAGCCCAUGGUUCCCUCAUUUUCCUCCAUGUGAGGAAAAUAGCAUAUGAACAGCAAGAAGACUUGACUAAUGUGGAUACUGCAAAGCCUCAACAUAAUAUAGAUCCAGCAACAGACGGCUAUUACAGAUCACAUAUCUAAAAGUGGAAGGCUGUAGGAGCCAUCGAAAUACAGUGGAUAUCAGCAUUAUGCAGAAAUAUGCCUCAACCAGAAAAUUUAUGGGUUAAAUGUAACAACAAUAUCAGAGCUCAUCGGGUGCUAUACCUAUAAUGGUUUUGAAUAAUGAGCAGCCUAUUCUCCUUUGAGACAAAUAAGCAGGAUUUGAAUAUGCCAGCUAAUCAGAUUGCGAUUCAAUUAAAUGUCAGUCAUAAUAACCCAAAGUGUUACAUGGACUCAAAGAUAGAAGAGUGGCAUAUAAAACCAAAAAGAAAAGUUUGAGUGUUCAGCUGCAGUAAAUGUGGGCACAACUACAUCUUAGUAUUAACACAUGUUCCAUGCACAACCGUGAUUGUGUUUGGAAAACAUGCUCAAGAGAAACAGAAGAUGAUACCUUUGUUCCUUCUCAAUUUCAACGCUCCCAGGAUCCAAUUUUUGUGCAUCCAUGAGAGCAUCCCACAGUUGUUUGUACUCCUAGAUUUAGAGUAAAUCAGGACACAGACCAUAAUACAUGAUGGAUCACAAAAAGGUAAGCUGCAGCGAAUCUUACCUUGAGUAGCAUGUGACCUGCACUCCAACGAUAACAAGCUUUUUCCCAGUUAGGCCGCAUCAUUCGGGAUCUGUUACCAUCAGAUUGAGCAUCUUCACCAUCACCCAUGAGCAAUCUACAAAUGCUCCUGUUUGUGUACAGAACUGUGGUUGGCCCAUGAUCUAUUGUCUAUGCUCAAACAUCACAUAAACAACGUUAUCAUUCCCAAGCUUAAGAAGAAUGCAUGAAAACUUUAUUUCAACGGUCAAUGAUUUCCAUUAAUUUAAUGCAAUCCAAAGUGGAUAUUUGAAAGUUUGAAUAGCAGAACAUUUAUCUAGGAUGAUUUCCAUUAAUAAAGAAACUUAGCAUCUUUAUCUCCAACAUUCUUCAUAGUUUUGUGGUUAGGCCUAUGGCAUUCUUAUGCCGCAACUCAAGUGUACUUGAUGUCAGUCACUCAAAUAAAACUCUAAUUUUCACAAUAACAUAAGGAAACCUGUGGCAUUAAACAAUAUUUAGUAUGGAAAGACUGAAAGAGCAUUACUGUACAUAAAUACAUAACGUACCAUUGGCCUUAUAUCUUUGACUUUCGCAUGAGAGAUUAUUCCAUUGACACUCCACUCCGGGACAUUUGGAAUUGGGGAAGUCAAUGGAAAUAGCCUUUCAACAUCUUCCCUGCAAUCACGUAAUGCAGCAUGCUCCACAGGCAACCAACCCAACUGCACAAAAGAAUGAAGAAGUCAUUUCAUACAGCGUAAUUCAGCAAGGAACCUAAAAGACACCAAAAUUGGUGAAUGCAGAUUAAAUUCAGAGUACGACAAAUUAUCACAAAAUGUGGCUUUCAACCAAACAUCUCCAUAUGUCCCAAAAAAAACCAUGGUGUGUAGGUUAAAAGCUGGCCAUGGCAAUUUUGGACAUUGAAAAGGCCUUUUGGAUAUAAUCUUGAUUUGUAGCGUCAUUGGUCACUAAAAUGUUAUCCAUGCUUUGCACAAACUUUUCUGUACUCGCAAGAUAUACUUACACAUACAAUAAAUAAAGGACAUAGGCUCUGAUAAUGAUAGGAAACUACAAAAUGCACCUUUAGAAUAAAAUAUUCAAAUGAUAAGUGCAAUACAACUAGCAUAGUCAAAGCAGCCUCAACUUAUUGCUAAAAUAACUCCCUAAAAUAAUCAGAGCUGUAAUCAGACCAGAGUGGAAAACUAAUAAGUGACUCAGAAGAACAGAAAACAUACAUCAUCAGGUAUAUUAGGGUUUGCUCCAGCCUUCAGGAGAAACUUAAUGAAGUUAGUAUAGCAUCCUUGUGAUGCAGCAAACAUCAAGGGAGACACAAGUGCUCCCUUGCCAUUAACAUCAGCACCAGCCUAAGAAAAGCAUUGUGCAAUAUAAUAUUUAGCUCCACAACAAAUAUUUUGAGUUAACAAAAUAAAACAGUAGCGGUAGUUGAACAAAUAUAGACUCAAUUAAGCAUUGACCUUUAUGAGUAGCUUCAUGCACUUCAAUGAACGGCACACAAGGGAACUCAUCAGGAGACUACAUGCUCCAUUGUUGACAAUUACGUUAGGCUGAAAGCAGAAAAUGAGAGUUUAGCCUUAGUAAAAGCUGAAAGCAGAAUAUGUGGAUGAAAAAGGAAAUAAAUAUAAUGCUUGAACUGCACUUUUUUUCCUGAUUAGCAUUUGCCACUUUUUACAAAUUCAAGUUAGCAAUUUGCGCUGUUGAAAGAAUUCAAAUUGCAUUAUGUGCAUAUUUUACGGAUUUCUUAUUACAAUAGGAAAAUUCAUAUUACACAUGAAACCAAUAAUUAUAUUCAGAGUUCAGAUACAGGUACAACCACAGCUACUCAAAUUUCAUGAAGCCAAACUGAUGUUGCUGCAUUGGAAGAGAUUAUGGUGGACAUUUGGUGAUGUCAAUAUCAAACUAGAAGGGCGGAAAUGAUGCAGAUGAAGUUACAAAUUUGACAUAAUGAUCCAAAAGCAUUUCAUUUAUUAAGAGUUGAGAAGCUCAUAGAGCAGGACAAUAGUUUUUAUUAUUGGUGUGAUGAAUUGAACACUUAAAAUUCCAUACUCUUUCUCCAAAAAUCAUGAGUCAACCUUACUUAGAGCAGGCCAAAUGACAAUUUUAGGAGUUAGGAUAAUCCUCGAGGGUAAGAUAUAUAAUAAUCACAAUAAUGCAUUUCAUAACAUAAUAAAGAAAAAUCAUUUUAAGAUCUGGAAAUAUAACUUUUAAAUCACACCAUCAUAUGAUCUAAGAUCCUCCAUAAAAUGUUAAAAGUGGAAAAAACCAAAAGUAUGGAUUAUGCACUGCAAUAUCUUGGAAUGGUUCAGUCCAGGCAAACAAAACAGUCCCAUGCAAACACGCAUAAGUGUACAUCAGCUAAUAAUCUAAGUGGAAAGCAAAACAAAUAUCUAGCUAUCCAAACUAGCAGUGAAAAAAAGGAAGAGGAAAUAAGAAAUAGUAGCAACUACAUACAUCUGCCUUGUGAUCCAACAAAAUCUUCAGUGUCUUAUCCUUGUCAUCGUUAGCAGCAUGCAAGAGUGGUGUUCCAAGGCCACAGUCUAUGUCAACAGGUAUUCCUUUUGAAAGCAAGAACUCUGUUACCUUACAGCAUCCUG
This 10644-nucleotide long non-coding RNA is filed under the name Oryza sativa (Asian cultivated rice). Its description in RNAcentral is "long non-coding RNA (OSAT_LNC001836)". The record is from RNAcentral. Lineage: Eukaryota; Viridiplantae; Streptophyta; Magnoliopsida; Poales; Poaceae.